Molecule: ribosomal RNA, 491 nt
Filed under: uncultured bacterium
Lineage: Bacteria
Description: partial 16S ribosomal RNA
Rfam family: Bacterial small subunit ribosomal RNA
Source: RNAcentral
GAUGAACGCUAGCUACAGGCUUAACACAUGCAAGUCGAGGGGAAACGACAUCGAAAGCUUGCUUUUGAUGGGCGUCGACCGGCGCACGGGUGAGUAACGCGUAUCCAACCUGCCCACCACUUGGGGAUAACCUUGCGAAAGUAAGACUAAUACCCAAUGAUAUCUCUAGAAGACAUCUGAAAGAGAUUAAAGAUUUAUCGGUGAUGGAUGGGGAUGCGUCUGAUUAGCUUGUUGGCGGGGUAACGGCCCACCAAGGCAACGAUCAGUAGGGGUUCUGAGAGGAAGGUCCCCCACAUUGGAACUGAGACACGGUCCAAACUCCUACGGGAGGCAGCAGUGAGGAAUAUUGGUCAAUGGACGAGAGUCUGAACCAGCCAAGUAGCGUGCAGGAAGACGGCCCUAUGGGUUGUAAACUGCUUCUAUAAGGGAAUAAAGUGAGUCUCGUGAGACUUUUUGCAUGUACCUUAUGAAUAAGGACCGGCUAAUUCCGU